Molecule: ribosomal RNA, 497 nt
Filed under: uncultured bacterium
Lineage: Bacteria
Description: partial 16S ribosomal RNA
Rfam family: Bacterial small subunit ribosomal RNA
Source: RNAcentral
GAUGAACGCUGGCGGCGUGCCUAAUACAUGCAAGUCGAGCGAACGGACGAGAAUCUUGCUUUUCUGAUGUUAGCGGCGGACGGGUGAGUAACACGUGGAUAACCUACCUAUAAUACUGGUAUAACUUCGGGAAACCGGAUCUAAUACCGGAUAAUAUUUUGAACCGCAUGGUUCAAAAGUGAAAGACGGUCUUGCUGUCACUUAUAGAUGGAUCCGCGCUGCAUUAGCUAGUUGGUAAGGUAACGGCUUACCAAGGCAACGAUGCAUAGCCGACCUGAGAGGGGGAUAGGCAACACGGGAACUGAGAAACGGUACAGACGCCGACGGGAGGCAGCAGUAGGGAAUCUUCCGCAAUGGGCGAAAGCAUGACGGAGCAACGCCGCGUGAGUGAUGAAGGUCUUCGGAUCGUAAAACUCUGUUAUUAGGGAAGAACAUAUGUGUAAGUAACUGUGCACAUCUUGACGGUAACUAAUCAGAAAGCCACGGCUAACUACGUG